RNAcentral lists this ribosomal RNA (254 nucleotides) under uncultured bacterium. Its description in RNAcentral is "partial 16S ribosomal RNA". It matches the Rfam family "Bacterial small subunit ribosomal RNA", at positions 524 to 776 of the family's 1533-position model. The record is from RNAcentral.
UACGGGGGGAGCAAGCGUUGUUCGGAUUUACUGGGCGUAAAGGGCGCGUAGGCGGCCAGCGCAAGUCGGUUGUGAAAUCUCCGGGCUUAACUCGGAAAGGUCAACUGAUACUGCGCGGCUAGAGUGCAGAAGGGGCAACUGGAAUUCUCGGUGUAGCGGUGAAAUGCGUAGAUAUCGAGAGGAACACCUGCGGCGAAGGCGGGUUGCUGGGCCGACACUGACGCUGAUGCGCGAAAGCCAGGGGAGCGAACGGG